RNAcentral lists this ribosomal RNA (496 nucleotides) under uncultured bacterium. RNAcentral describes it as "partial 16S ribosomal RNA". It matches the Rfam family "Bacterial small subunit ribosomal RNA", at positions 29 to 507 of the family's 1533-position model. The record is from RNAcentral.
AUGAACGCUGGCGGCGUGCCUAAUACCUGCAAGUCGCGCGAACAGACGAGGAGCUUGCUCCUCUGACGUUAGCGGCGGACGGGUGAGUAACACGUGGAUAACCUACCUAUAAGACUGGGAUAACUUCGGGAAACCGGAGCUAAUACCGGAUAAUAUAUUGAACCGCAUGGUUCAAUAGUGAAAGACGGUUUUGCUGUCACUUAUAGAUGGAUCCGCGCCGCAUUAGCUAGUUGGUAAGGUAACGGCUUACCAAGGCAACGAUGCAUAGCCGACCUGAGAGGGUGAUCGGCCACACUGGAACUGAGACACGGUCCAGACUCCUACGGGAGGCAGCAGUAGGGAAUCUUCCGCAAUGGGCGAAAGCCUGACGGAGCAACGCCGCGUGAGUGAUGAAGGUCUUCGGAUCGUAAAACUCUGUUAUUAGGGAAGAACAAAUGUGUAAGUAACUAUGCACGUCUUGACGGUACCUAAUCAGAAAGCCACGGCUAACUACGUG